Molecule: ribosomal RNA, 292 nt
Filed under: uncultured Alphaproteobacteria bacterium
Lineage: Bacteria; Pseudomonadati; Pseudomonadota; Alphaproteobacteria
Description: partial 16S ribosomal RNA
Source: RNAcentral
GGACUACUGGGGUUUCUAAUCCUGUUUGCUCCCCACGCUUUCGCGCCUCAGCGUCAGUCUCGGUCCAGUGAGCCGCCUUCGCCACCGGUGUUCUUCCCAAUAUCUACGAAUUUCACCUCUACACUGGGAAUUCCACCCACCUCUCCCGAACUCUAGUUCCCCAGUCCCAAAUGCAAUUCCCAGGUUGAGCCCGGGGCUUUCACAUCUGACUUGAAGAACCGCCUGCGCGCCCUUUACGCCCAGUAAUUCCGAACAACGCUCGCCCCCUUCGUAUUACCGCGGCUGCUGGCAC